GCGAGGUCGAUCUUUAUGUAGGAUAACUCUUCUGUCCAUCCAUAGUCUGCCCUCCUGAAGAGGGAUGCUGCAGCUAGCUCAGCUCAUUCCAGGGUCAAGCAGGAACAUGGAAAUGCUCUCUGGAAAGCUAGUAUGGGCUGCUCCACCUUUCAGCAUGUGCCCACGGGCCAGGGCUCUGGCUCUGGGUGUGGCUACUCGCCGUGGCAGGAAGAUGAGUCACAAGAAUUGGUAUUAGUGUUCCAGCUCUGCCACCAACUACCUGGGUAACUUUGGGACUUGGUGCUGGAGGAAGGCUUUAGAGAUGACCAAAUCCCACACCCUCAUGGCAAAGAGGAGGACCUUGAAGCCAGGAGAUGGAGGCAGCUGGCCAGAUGUCACACAGGCAGGCAGUGAGGGGCCGAGGAUCCUGUGAGAAAGACAAAAAAUGGUCUUUUCCCAUAAGAAGCUGAUCUUCCACUGGGAUGGGACUCUGAGGAAGGAAGCAACAGAUCCACAGAUGAGUAAAUACAAAAAUAUGUGCACCCAGGUAGAUGGAGAUCCCAAAGUGGCUCCUCCUGGUCAAUUCUUGACCACAUCCUUCCUCAAGUUCACACUGCGAGUUCCCCCAACAUGCUGCUUGUCUUGCUUUCUGUCUCCUGACCUCGUGAGGCUACCAGUAGAACACUCAGACUGUCCACCUAGGAAACUGCAUCCUCUCCACAUGACCAGCUGUUUUUGUUUUUACAAAAUUUCUCUGAUGAUGUCCCUCUCAGCAGUCCUCAUUCAAAGUUCCUCAUUGGGUCUCCCUUUCAGCCUGCUCACACCCACCAUGCAUUCUUCCUUUGCCUUUGGUGUGAUGGUAAUUUUUAAUUCUUCAGAGACUCUAAUGUUCCAUGACUCAGUCACAGGACACUGAUGGGCUAUUGGCUUUGAAAAGAUGGACCUUUGUU
This is a long non-coding RNA of Phascolarctos cinereus (koala), 929 nucleotides long. RefSeq lists it as uncharacterized. The record is from RefSeq and is a predicted model, not a curated record. Lineage: Eukaryota; Metazoa; Chordata; Mammalia; Diprotodontia; Phascolarctidae.